Molecule: ribosomal RNA, 3442 nt
Filed under: Trebouxiophyceae sp. MX-AZ01
Lineage: Eukaryota; Viridiplantae; Chlorophyta; Trebouxiophyceae
Description: large subunit ribosomal RNA
Rfam family: Bacterial large subunit ribosomal RNA
Source: RNAcentral
CACAGCGAGCUUUGGGUGAAUGCCUUGGCAAAGCAAAGCAGAGACGUCACACAUGACGAAACGCUAUGGGGAGGCUUGUAAUCCCUGUGAUCCAUGGCUCUCUCGUCGGGAAACCUUAUAAGUAGAAACCUAGCGAAUUGAAACAUCUUAGUAGCUAGAGGAGAUUCAAUCAACCGAGACCCCGCCAGUAGCGGUGAGCGAAAGCGGGAGGGGCCUACUCUCCCCGCCUACCAAAGGCUAGUUUGCCUCCUCUACAGAAGCAGAGAACCGCCUGUUUGGUUUUGUUCGGUGCCGGAGAUAGCAUUGAAAUGAGGAGUGGAAUCCCAUGCCGAAGAGGGUGACAGCCCCGUAGAUGAUUGCGACACCGAUCAAGGGGAGAGAUGAGUAGGGUGAGACCAUUGGCUUGCCUGAACAGGGGGGUACCACCCUCUAAGCCUAAGUAUGAUGCUUUGACCGAUAGUGAACCAGUACCGUGAGGGAAAGGCGAAAGAGCACCCCAGAUGGGGAGUGAAAGAGAGACUGAAACCCACCGCUUUACAAGCAGUUGAAGCUCGCCUAACACCUCCCCCCAAUGGGGGAGAAGAUGCCAUGCCUCAACAGUGAUGCAUGGAGGGGGGGUGAGAUGGUGAGUGCCGGCCUACCUUUUGCAUAAUGGGUCAGCGAGUAAGCUGGAUGCAGCAAGCUUAAGCCGAUAGGUGUAGGCAUAGCGAAAGCGAGUCCUCAAGGGGCAUUUCAGUUGCAUCGGCUUAACCCGAAACCGGGUGAUCUAGCCAUGAGCAGGUUGAAAGGAGGGUAACACCUCUUGGAGGGCCGAACCCGUGCCUGUAGCAAUAGGCAGGGAUGACUUGUGGUUAGGGGUGAAAAGCCAAUCGAACCCGGAGAUAGCUGGUUUUCUGCGAAAUCCAUUGAGGUGAAGCGCAAAAUAGACUCAGCCGGUUGGGAUAGCAUCCCUUUGGUAGACCAAGUCAUCACACCACACCAUCAAGGAUGCAGAGGAGAUUGCGGGGCUUAAACCAGCCUACCCAUCUCCAGAUGGUGAAGAAGACGAUGACCUUGAUGUCGCUUUAAGAAGGAAUGCUCCCGCGACGGCGUGAUGAGACCGUCUGAGGGGGUAGAGCACUCGAUGGGAAAGGGUGGCCCAAAGCCUGACCGAUUCCAAGGAAACUCCGAAUACCUUAGACGAUUCUUUUGCAGACAGAUCUUGGGUGCAAAGGCCCAAGAUCGAGAGGGAAAAAGCCCAGAUCGUCCGCUAAGGUCUCCAAGAGACAACUCAGUGGGAAAAGGCGUACCUAAGCCGAGACAACCAGGAGGUGGGCUUAGAAGCAGCCAUCCUUUGAAGAAAGCGUAAAAGCUCACUGGUCUAGCUUGGAUGCACUGAAGAUGUCACGAGGCUCAAGUUGUCCACCGAAGCGACGGCCUCUACCAUCGACCUAGAAGCCCCAUUGGGCAGCUGGGUCGUGCCGGUAUCACUUAGUGAUGCACCGGCAAGCCUGCGGGCGGAGAGGGGUAGCAGAACGUCCUGUAGAUCAUUGAAGGCGAUCCGAUAGGGUUGCAGGAGGUAUCAGGAGUGAGAAUGCUGACAUGAGUAACGAGAAAUUGUGUGAGAUUCACAAUCGUCGAAAGUCCUAGGCUUCCUACAGAUGUAAAUCGAUGUAGGGUGAAUCGGCCCCUAAGGAUGCAGCGAGAGCUUCCUCUGAUGGGCAUCGUCACAGGUGACUAGGCCGAGACCAAUUUGGUCAAGGGGACACGAUGUGAUCGCUCUGCUGGUUCGGGCAGUAGACCAUCGGAGAGGUCUGGGGACCCACCCCAUAGAAGCCUGGCAUCACCAAGUGAUGCCAGGCUGGUAUGCCCUCGUCCCAAAGGGACGAGGCGGUAAACCCCAUCGCGCUGCGAUGGGAGGUCACCUAGAAUCUAGUCUCUCCCCCUAUGACAUGGAGAGGGCAUGAAACGCUUUCUUGCUUAACAAGAGGGCGUGAUCGGAUGUUGAACUCUCCAUUCACGGCCUACAGGAAACAACCUGUGAUGGGCAAGACCGUACCUAAACCGACACUGGUGGACUGGUUGAACAAACUCAGACGAUAGGGAGAACCAUGCUGAAGGAACUCGGCAAAUUGACUCCGUAACUUCGGGAAAAGGAGGGCCUCCUUGGAAACAAAGCAGGGAGGUGGCACAGAAGAGGGGGUGGCGACUGUUUAUUAAAAACACAGGACUCAGCAAAAUAGCAACAUCAAGUAUUGGGUCUGACGCCUGCCCGGUGCUGGUAGCUUAAGGGGAGGGGUGGCAUUGGGGAGAGAGAAAGACAAGGGCUGCCUUGCCUUCCUUUCCUCCCGGAGAAAGCUCCCAACCAAAGGUCCAGUAAACGGCGGCCGUAACUCUGACGGUCCUAAGGUAGCGAAAUUCCUUGUCGGGUAAGUUCCGACCCGCAUGAAUGGCGUCACGACUGCCCCGCUGUCUCCAGCAUGGGCCCAGUGAAAUUGAAAUCUCCGUGCAGAUGCGGAGUCCCCAAAGGAAGACGGUAAGACCCUAUGCACCUUUACUACAACUUGUCGUGGAGGGGUGAGAUGGAUUGUGUAGAAUAGGUGGGAGCCUGUUCUUGAUACCCCCCACCCACCCUUCCCUAGGGAAGGGUGGGUGGGGGUUAGUGUUGGGGCAGGCAUCAGUGAAAUACCACCCCUUGCUUCUCACCAGUCUAAUCCAGAGGAAAUAGGGAGACAUCGACAAGCAGGUAGUUUCAUUGGGGCGAUGGCUUUCUAAAGAGUAACGAAAGUGUGCGAAGGUAGACUCAGGUUGGUCGGAAACCAACUGAAGAGCGUAAUGGUAGAAGUCUGCCUGACUGCAAGACCUACAAGUCGAGCAGGGACGAGAGUCGGCCAUAAUGACCCGGGAGCACCGCGUGGAAGGGCUCUCGCUCAACGGAUCAAAGGUACGCUAGGGAUAACAGGCUAAUGACUCCCAAGAGCCCAUAUCGACGGAGUCGUUUGGCACCUCGAUGUCGACUAGGUCCCAAGGGUUCGGCUGUUCGCCGAUGAAAGCGGUACGUGAGUUGGGUUUAGUGCGCCGAGAGGCAGUACGGUUCCUAUCUCCUUUGGGUGGCAAUGCCACCUGUGGAGGCGGAUGCCUCCAUCGGUGGUUGAAACUGAGAGAAGCAUUCCCUUGUACGAGAGGACCGGGAAUGACCAACCUCUGGUCUACCAGCUGUUGCGCCAGCAGCAUGGCUGGGCGGCUACGUUCUCAUUGAAUAACUGCUGAAGGCCUAUCAAGCAGGAAGUCAUGUCUCGAUACAAGUUUCUAAUGGCGUAGAAGAAGACUACGGAAUAGGCGGGGGGUGGAGGCGCAGCAAUGUGUGAGCUUGCCCGUACUAACUGGCGGAAUAGCGGUCUAUUUCCUAAUCAAUCAAUUCCCUACUUAAUCAAUACCAAUGGAGAGGGGGUUCCCUUCUCUA